RNAcentral lists this long non-coding RNA (3532 nucleotides) under Mus musculus (house mouse). RNAcentral describes it as "long non-coding RNA chr6:85679332-85682864". The record is from RNAcentral. Lineage: Eukaryota; Metazoa; Chordata; Mammalia; Rodentia; Muridae.
AGUCAUUUCAGUCAUAUAUACCCUAGCGAGGUUUCCUCAUCUGUCUUCAUAAAGAAGACAUUACAGGGUCACAAGUCCUCCAAGACCCUCAUGGUACAUGGCACAAGACUCGGAGCCUAUUCGGGUCACGUUACAUUUAGGAUUUGUAAAGGCAGAUGCUCUACCCAAGAGAAAACGACAGCCAUGUAUAGGUGGUGCACCUGCUACCUCAGCAUUUAGGAUUCUGAAGCAAAGGGGACCACAAGUUUGAGGCUAGCCUCCGCUACCUAGUAUAAACCUGUCUCAAAAAAAAAAAACCCAAAAAACAACCAAAGUAAAAUCUAGAGAAAUGCUCUCCAGGGAGAUGCUCUGUCCAUUGAAGUAGGGAAAAUGGAUUUUAUAUUUAUUCAAGUUUUCAAAUUUUCUAUUUUUGUAUUACAUAAAAAUGGUAAGUAAAAUAAUUUAUAAAUAAAUAUCUAUUUUGGCAAUUUGUUCUCAAAAAUAUUUUGUCAGUAGGACUGCAUGGAGAUCACAAUACUAGAGGGAAGGAGAUAGGAGAUGAAGUUUCUCAUGAUCAAUAUUUCCCACAAUUGAGAUUUUGGUAGAUAUGAAUUGACAGGGAUUAUGUGUGUUAAUAGUGGUUUUUAAGUAAUAAAAAACUGGAAACAAUGCUGGAAAGAGGGGAAAGGAUCCUGCUUAAAGAUUUAUGUAUGGCCAAAUAAUGCAAAGUUCAUACUUCGAGAUGAGCAUCAUGGUACAGAUCUGUACUCAAAGUACUCAGAAGCUGAGACCUAGCUCCAGAGGUCAGAUGGUUUUCUCCCCCCCCCCCCAAUUAAACAAUUAAGUAACAUUUGGGGCUUAUACUAAUCAUCCAUACUCUGCCCUUCCCCUAUCCUCUGGGAGUCAAUAAUUUGCUUCUGUCUCUGGGGACUUGUCUGUUCUGGUUAUUUCAUAUAAACACAAUCGUAUAAUAUAUGAUUCUUGUCAGGCUCCCCUGUCCCCAGGGAUUGAACAUAGGACAACUCCUUUUGAGGCAGUUCUACCAUUAAGCUGCAGUUCUACCCUCUUUACAUUUUUUUUCAAGGCUCACCUAUGCCAAAGCACAAACAGUACUUGAGUUUUUCCUGUUGUAUAUAUAUGACACACUUUUUAAAAAUCUAUUCACAAAUCCAAUGAUAGACACUUGGGCACUUGCAAUGCUUCAGCUAUUGUGAAUGGGGCUGAUCCUGGAAUCCCUGUAUGCAGUUCUUUGAGGUACACCCAAGAAUGGAAAUAACAAAUCAUGUGGUAAUUGUGUCUUACUGAGAAACUGACCAACUGGUGAGACCGCAGUGCCUGUCCUUUUAUGCUUUGGCCAGCAGUGAUUCCUGAGGGCCCCUGCGGGCCUCACUGCUCUUUUGUGGCUGCUUAUUUAUCUUGUUGUUGUUGGUUGUUUUGGUUUUUGUUUUGUUUUUGAAUGUUAUCUACUAGCUAUACUAUUGAGUAUAAGGUGGUUUCUCGCUGUGGUUUAUUUACAUGCCUACCGGACAUCCUGUGUGCAUUUUAACCAUUUGUAUAACUUGUUUUUAAGUCCUUUGACCUUUAGAAAUUUAGCUGCUUGACUUUUUGUUUUGUAGUUGUUGGACUUUUCUAUAUGGUAGUCCCUUACUAAAUGUAUAUAUAAUCUGAAAAUACAUCUUGCCACUCUGUAGGCUGCCUCUCACACAAUCACUUUGUUGAUUGUGUCUUUUGACAUAUAGCAGAUUUAAUAGUUCAGCAUUGCUUUCUGUUACCCAUGUCUUGGGGGGAUCAUAACCAGGAAAUUGUUGUCAGAUCUAAUGUCAUAAUUUUCUUGUCUUUUUAAUCUAGCUUUUAUAUUUAGGAAUUCAGUCUACUAAUGGUAUACAGAAAAGGUCUACUUUCAUUCUUCGGUAUGUUUGUGUAUAGUUCUGGCAAGAUCAUUUGUUUAGACUUUUCUCCAUUUGUUCCUUGGCACUGUCGUUAGAAAUCUUGAUCGUGUGUGUGUGUGUGUAUGUGUGUCCACUUUGGGGCACUUAGUUCUGCCCUAUUGGUUUGUUUUCCUUAUCAUGCCAGUACCACAGUUUGGAUUCAGUUAUCUUCAUCGUAAGUUUUGACAGCACGAACCGCCGUGUUUUCAAGAUUGUUUUGACCAGAGUCCCUAUACAGGACUUGUAAAUAUCUACUUGUAAAUAUCUUAUUCGUUCUAAUCAUUUUGUAAGUAUAAAAUUUAACUUCAUUUUUGGAUUAUUUGUUGGUGUUGCGAUACAUAGCUAACGUUUACAUGUUGAUUUUGUACCUUACAAUGUUACUGAAUUAAUUUGUUAACUCUUCAAUUUUCUUGUAGAACGUAUAGACUUUCCUGUCAUCUGCAAAUAAAGACAGUCUUUCUUCUCCUUUUCAGUUUGGAAGAUUUUGAUUUUUCCCGCUGAUUUACAGAGAACUUGUAGUAGAGUGUUGAAUGGUUAAAAGUAAAAAAAAGGUGCCCUUGUGCAUGUUCUCGGGAGGAAUACUUUGUCUUUCACAGUUGAGAAUAUGUUACUGUGGGGUUUUCUCUUGUGACUUUUGUUACAUUGAGGAAGUUCCCUUUUGCUAGUUUGGAUUUUAUUUUUAUUAUAAAAAGAUUUUGAUAUUAGUCAAAUUUGGCAUCUAUUAAAAUGAUCAUCAACUUCCUGUUCUCCCCAUUUUCUAUUGAUGUGUUUUGUAUUCAUUGAUAACCACAUGUUGAGCUAAAUUUGCAUUCCUCCUGUCAUUCCCAUUUUGCUGUGUUACGCAGUACUUUUCAAGUGCCAUAGGAUUGAGUUGCUAGACUUUGAAGAAGACUUUUUCUAUCAAUAUUCUUGUAACCUAUAGGUUUUUUUUUUUUCCUGAUGUCUUUGCUGCUUUUGCAAAAAAAGGAUAAUACCAGGUUUGUGGAAUGCGUUUGUCGCCUUGCUGUGUUUUGAUAAUGAGUAUUAGGAUUAAUGCUGCGAUCUAAUGUUAAUUCUUUAUGUGUUUGAUAGAAUUUAAUUGCUAUAGGUCAUACAUUUUUCUUUGGAGGCCUUUUUCUAAAAACUGACUCACUAUAAGUCUGAGAUAUCUAUUUCUUGAGUCAGUUUUUAUAUUUUGUGUUUUCUGGUAGUUAUUAAAAAAUAUUUAUUUAUUUAUUUUAUUUCUUAUGGCUUUGAACUCAAAAGAAAACUGUCUGCCUUUUUCCUGGAAUUAUAGACUUGUGCCACCAUACCUGACAGUAAAUGUUUGUUCUUUAAAUUGUACAUAAAAGGGAAAUGUUUGAAAACAGGAAAUACAGUAAGGCUGGCUCUUAAUUUUACUUAUGUCACUUGGCUUUGGGAGUAUUGCUUUAGUCAAGUUGUGUGAGUCCUCUACAAACCCUGAUUACAAAUCUUUCAAUGGGGAUAUGGUUUGAAAAAUAUGUUCUUCCUUUAUUUUCCUUGAAACAAAGUAUCUGUGUAGCUCAGGCUGCACUGGAACUCACUACAUAGACCAAUUAGCCGGAGUGAAACUCAGCCCUCUCUGCCUCUCCCCACUGAGUGCUGACAUUAAAGGCCUAUGCUGC